AUAGGAGAGGUCCAAUGAAAAGAGUCGCUUAAGGCUUCCAAGCGAGGAUGGAAUUAUGUUGUCUGGGAAUUUCCCUUGCAAAUCACAAGACGAUAGCGCAAGUGAUGAUAAAGAAGAAGAGAGAUUCAUCAAAGAAUUAGGUUUAACUAUAGACAUGUUUACACCACUCAAGUCCAAUUCCUGUAACACGGUUAGGUUUUGAACAAGCUUCUUAAAACAAGUGGUUUCUAGUAUCAAAUCAUAGUUUGCAGAAAAAUCAAGUGAAACCAAUUCAAAUAGAUGACUGAUAUCUGGGAAUU
RNAcentral lists this unclassified non-coding RNA (299 nucleotides) under Hevea brasiliensis (rubber tree). The record is from RNAcentral. Lineage: Eukaryota; Viridiplantae; Streptophyta; Magnoliopsida; Malpighiales; Euphorbiaceae.